This 336-nucleotide ribosomal RNA is filed under the name Triticum aestivum (bread wheat). RNAcentral's name for it is "partial small subunit ribosomal RNA". The record is from RNAcentral. Lineage: Eukaryota; Viridiplantae; Streptophyta; Magnoliopsida; Poales; Poaceae.
AUGGAUGAUCCCUUAGCCAGUCCUGUCGCUCAUCUUGAUCUGCCGCCUCCAAUUUCUCUGUCAGGUUUGAUGUACAUUCAGAUAGCUAUAUUUAUGAUCUGCCAUCUCCAAUUUCUCAGGUUUGAUGAAUAUUCAGAUAGCCAUAUCUAUGCAGAAUUUUACUCUUUGCUAUGUUGUAUGCAGGCAGGCAAAUGCUACGGAAGCAGCCAAAUUAAAACAUGCAUGUUCUCCACAUUUUCGUCUAAUGGUGUUUAUGUUGGGAUUUCCUUUAUUUAUUAUAUGAAUGCUUAUGGUGAUAUUGGGUUGUUUGUAGAGGCAUCACUUGCAGAUAGUUGA